Molecule: ribosomal RNA, 594 nt
Filed under: uncultured bacterium
Lineage: Bacteria
Description: bacterial SSU rRNA
Rfam family: Bacterial small subunit ribosomal RNA
Source: RNAcentral
AUAGGAUGGACAUGCGUCGCAUUAGGUAGACGGCGGGGUAACGGCCCACCGUGCCGACGAUGCGUAGGGGUUCUGAGAGGAAGGCCCCCCACACUGGUACUGAGACACGGACCAGACUCCUACGGGAGGCAGCAGUGAGGAAUAUUGGUCAAUGGCCGAGAGGCUGAACCAGCCAAGUCGCGUGAGGGAAGAAUGUCCUAAGGAUUGUAAACCUCUUUUGUCGGGGAGCAAAAAGGCUCUGCGGAGUCGUAUUGAGAGUACCCGAAGAAAAAGCAUCGGCUAACUCCGUGCCAGCAGCCGCGGUAAUACGGAGGAUGCGAGCGUUAUCCGGAUUUAUUGGGUUUAAAGGGUGCGCAGGCGGCGUGUCAAGCAAGCGGUAAAAUAGCGGGGCUCAACCCCGUCGAGCCGUUUGAACUGGCGCGCUUGAGUUCAGGCGAGGUAGGCGGAAUUCGUGGUGUAGCGGUGAAAUGCAUAGAUAUCACGAAGAACUCCGAUUGCGAAGGCAGCUUACCAGUCUGCGACUGACGCUCAGGCACGAAAGUGUGGGUAUCGAACAGGAUUAGAUACCCUGGUAGUCCACACAGUAAACGAUGA